CCUACGGGAGGCUGCAGUGAGGAAUAUUGGUCAAUGGACGAGAGUCUGAACCAGCCAAGUAGCGUGAAGGAUGACUGCUCUAUGGGUUGUAAACUUCUUUUAUAUGGGAAUAAAAUGUUCCAUGUGUGGGAUUUUGUAUGUACCAUAUGAAUAAGGAUCGGCUAACACCGUGCCAGCAGCCGCGGUAAUACGGAGGCUCCGAGCGUUAUCCGGAUUUAUUGGGUUUAAAGGGAGCGUAGGUGGAUUAGUAAGUCAGUUGUGAAAGUUUGCGGCUCAACCGUAAAAUUGCAGUUGAAACUGGCAGUCUAGAGUACGGUAGAGGUAGGCGGAAUUCGUGGUGUAGCGGUAAAAUGCGUAGAUAUCACGAAGAAUUCCGAUUGCGAAGGCAGUUCGCUAGACUGCAACUGACGCUGAGGCUCGAAAGUGUGGGUAUCAAACAGGAUUAGAUACCCUUGUAGUC
This 460-nucleotide ribosomal RNA is filed under the name uncultured bacterium. Its description in RNAcentral is "partial 16S ribosomal RNA". It matches the Rfam family "Bacterial small subunit ribosomal RNA", at positions 338 to 795 of the family's 1533-position model. The record is from RNAcentral.